RNAcentral lists this ribosomal RNA (497 nucleotides) under uncultured bacterium. RNAcentral's name for it is "partial 16S ribosomal RNA". It matches the Rfam family "Bacterial small subunit ribosomal RNA", at positions 28 to 507 of the family's 1533-position model. The record is from RNAcentral.
GAUGAACGCUGGCGGCGUGCCUAAUACAUGCAAGUCGAGCGAACGGACGCGAAGCUUGCUCUUCUGAUGUUAGCGGCGGACGGGUGAGUAACACGUGGACAACCUACCUAUAAGUCUCGGAUAACUUCGGGUAACCGUAGCUAAUACCGGCUACUAUUUUGAACCGCAUGGUUCAAAAGUGAAAGACGGUCUUGCUGUCACUUAUAGAUGGAUCCGCGCUGCAUUAGCUAGUUGGUAAGGUAACGGCUUACCAAGGCAACGAUGCAUAGCCGACCUGAGAGGGUGAUCAGCCACACUGGAACUGAGACACGGUCCAGACUCCUACGGGAGGCAGCAGUGGGGAAUCUUGCGCAAUGGGCGCAAGCCUGACGGAGCAACGCCGCGUGAGUGAUGAAGGUCUUCGGAUCGUAAAACUAUGUUAUUAGGAAAGAACAGCUGUGUAAGUAACUAUGCACAUCAUGACGGUACCUUAACAAAAAGCCACGGCUAACUACGUG